UGCCGACAGGAUGGGGACAACAUUCCGAAAGGAAUGCUAAUACCGAAUGGAGUCCGGGGAUGGCAUCAUCCCCGGAUAAAAGAUGGCCUCUGAAUAUGCUAUCGCCUGUCGAUGGGCCUGUGUCAGAUUAACGAGUUGGCGGGAUAACGGCCCACCAAAGCGACCAUCAGUAGUCGGUCUGAGAGGAUGACCAGCCACAUUGGGACUGAGACACGGCCCACACUCCUACGGGAGGCAGGAGUGGGGAAUCUUCCACAAUGGGCGAAAGCCUGAUGGAGCAACGCCGCGUGAGUGAAGAAGGUCUUCGGAUCGUAAAGCUCUGUUGCACGGGACGAAAACUGGGUUUGAUAAUAUUGAACCCGGGUGACGGUACCGAGCGAGGAAGCCACGGCUAACUACGUGCCAGCAGCCGCGGUAAUACGUAGGUGGCGAGCGUUGUCCGGAAUUAUUGGGCGUAAAGGGAGCGCAGGCGGACAUAUA
This 480-nucleotide ribosomal RNA is filed under the name Selenomonas sp. HGFM96. RNAcentral describes it as "bacterial SSU rRNA". It matches the Rfam family "Bacterial small subunit ribosomal RNA", at positions 127 to 585 of the family's 1533-position model. Lineage: Bacteria; Bacillati; Bacillota; Negativicutes; Selenomonadales; Selenomonadaceae. The record is from RNAcentral.